This is a non-coding RNA of Rattus norvegicus (Norway rat), 69 nucleotides long. The record is from Rfam. Lineage: Eukaryota; Metazoa; Chordata; Mammalia; Rodentia; Muridae.
GGGGAUUUAGCUCAGUGGUAGAGCACUUGCCUAGCAAGCACAAGGCUCUGGGUUCAGUCCCUAGCUCCG